RNAcentral lists this ribosomal RNA (944 nucleotides) under Ceriporia triumphalis. RNAcentral describes it as "eukaryotic LSU rRNA". It matches the Rfam family "Eukaryotic large subunit ribosomal RNA", at positions 1 to 950 of the family's 3401-position model. The record is from RNAcentral. Lineage: Eukaryota; Fungi; Basidiomycota; Agaricomycetes; Polyporales; Irpicaceae.
CUGAUCUCAAAUCAGGUAGGACUACCCGCUGAACUUAAGCAUAUCAAUAAGCGGAGGAAAAGAAACUAACAAGGAUUCCCCUAGUAACUGCGAGUGAAGCGGGAAAAGCUCAAAUUUAAAAUCUGGCAGUCUUUGAUUGUCCGAGUUGUAUUCUAGAGAAGUGUCUUCCGCGUUGGACCGUGUACAAGUCUCUUGGAACAGAGCGUCAUAGAGGGUGAGAAUCCCGUCUUUGACACGGACUACCAGUGCUUUGUGAUGCGCUCUCAAAGAGUCGAGUUGUUUGGGAAUGCAGCUCAAAAUGGGUGGUAAAUUCCAUCUAAAGCUAAAUAUUGGCGAGAGACCGAUAGCGAACAAGUACCGUGAGGGAAAGAUGAAAAGCACUUUGGAAAGAGAGUUAAACAGUACGUGAAAUUGUUGAAAGGGAAACGCUUGAAGUCAGUCGCGUUAGUCAGAACUCAGCCUUGCUUUUGCUUGGUGCACUUUCUGAUUGACGGGCCAGCAUCAGUUUUGACUGCAGGAGAAAGGUCAGGGGAAUGUGGCAUCUUCGGAUGUGUUAUAGACUCUGAUUGUAUACUGUGAUUGGGACUGAGGAACUCAGCACGCGCAAGCUGUGCUUAGGAUGCUGGCGUAAUGGCUUUAAACGACCCGUCUUGAAACACGGACCAAGGAGUCUAACAUGCCUGCGAGUAUUUGGGUGGUAAACCCGAGUGCGCAAUGAAAGUGAAAGUUGGGAUCUCUGUCGUGGAGAGCACCGACGCCCGGACCAGACCUUUUGUGACGGAUCUGCGGUAGAGCAUGUAUGUUGGGACCCGAAAGAUGGUGAACUAUGCCUGAAUAGGGUGAAGCCAGAGGAAACUCUGGUGGAGGCUCGUAGCGAUUCUGACGUGCAAAUCGAUCGUCAAAUUUGGGUAUAGGGGCGAAAGACUAAUCGAACCAUCUAGUAG